Triplophysa dalaica is the source of this 181-nucleotide small nucleolar RNA. RefSeq annotates it as small nucleolar RNA SNORA23. The record is from RefSeq and is a predicted model, not a curated record. NCBI's taxonomy places the organism in Eukaryota, Metazoa, Chordata, Actinopteri, Cypriniformes, Nemacheilidae. The transcript has a single exon.
GGUGGACGGUGUGCGUAGUGUCCGUCUGCGUUUAGUGCCGUCCACAGUCUGUGUCUUACAGAUCGUGUGAUUGUACUCACACUACACUCACAGCCACAGAAUGACUGGAGAUCAUAGUACUGGCUCAGUGACGUCUACAUGACCCUCUACCACUGACCAGCCUCCAUAGUCUCCUACAAAG